AGUGAACGCUGGCGGUAGGCCUAACACAUGCAAGUCGAACGGCAGCACAGUAAGAGCUUGCUCUUACGGGUGGCGAGUGGCGGACGGGUGAGGAAUACGUCGGAAUCUACUUUUUCGUGGGGGAUAACGUAGGGAAACUUACGCUAAUACCGCAUACGACCUACGGGUGAAAGCAGGGGAUCUUCGGACCUUGCGCGAUUGAAUGAGCCGAUGUCGGAUUAGCUAGUUGGCGGGGUAAGGGCCCACCAAGGCGACGAUCCGUAGCUGGUCUGAGAGGAUGAUCAGCCACACUGGAACUGAGACACGGUCCAGACUCCUACGGGAGGCAGCAGUGGGGAAUAUUGGACAAUGGGCGCAAGCCUGAUCCAGCCAUACCGCGUGGGUGAAGAAGGCCUUCGGGUUGUAAAGCCCUUUUGUUGGGAAAGAAAAGCAGCAGGUUAAUACCCCGCUGUUCUGACGGUACCCAAAGAAUAAGCACCGGCUAACUUCGUG
RNAcentral lists this ribosomal RNA (492 nucleotides) under uncultured bacterium. RNAcentral's name for it is "partial 16S ribosomal RNA". It matches the Rfam family "Bacterial small subunit ribosomal RNA", at positions 29 to 507 of the family's 1533-position model. The record is from RNAcentral.